Amblyraja radiata (thorny skate) is the source of this 308-nucleotide long non-coding RNA. RefSeq lists it as uncharacterized. The record is from RefSeq and is a predicted model, not a curated record. NCBI's taxonomy places the organism in Eukaryota, Metazoa, Chordata, Chondrichthyes, Rajiformes, Rajidae. The transcript is spliced from 3 exons.
UUCCACAAACAUGAAUCCUGGGAAUUUAGAGUGUUCACGGAUAGAGGGAUAAAAGGAGAGAGCGGAGCGAGGAGGAUUAGUGUGGAUUCACGGAAUCACGGAUAUAGAGUGAACUUGUUGGCGAUUGUGAUUCUCUGUCUCUCCAAAUGCAUCACACGCCACCUGGUGGCCAUGGCAGCAUCUGAUCUUCUGGUCGGCAUCACCGAUCCGUUUCUCAAAUUAUCAUCUACAGAGGCAAUUAGUGCAGACUGGGAAAAGAACUACUGAUAAAAAUUCCGAAAGAAACAUGGGAAAAAUACCUGAUAUAC